GGAAGGGUCGCAUAGCGGUCUAGUGCACUUGCUUGGAAAGCAAGCGUAGCGCAAGCUACCGAGGGUUCGAAUCCCUCCCCUUCCGCCA
Molecule: transfer RNA, 88 nt
Filed under: Candidatus Uhrbacteria bacterium
Lineage: Bacteria; Candidatus Uhriibacteriota
Description: tRNA-Ser
Rfam family: tRNA
About the family: Transfer RNA (tRNA) molecules are approximately 80 nucleotides in length. Their secondary structure includes four short double-helical elements and three loops (D, anti-codon, and T loops). Further hydrogen bonds mediate the characteristic L-shaped molecular structure. tRNAs have two regions of fundamental functional importance: the anti-codon, which is responsible for specific mRNA codon recognition, and the 3' end, to which the tRNAs corresponding amino acid is attached (by aminoacyl-tRNA synthetases). tRNAs cope with the degeneracy of the genetic code in two manners: having more than one tRNA (with a specific anti-codon) for a particular amino acid; and 'wobble' base-pairing, i.e. permitting non-standard base-pairing at the 3rd anti-codon position.
Source: RNAcentral